Non-coding RNA from Bactrocera oleae (olive fruit fly), 7306 nucleotides. The record is from RefSeq and is a predicted model, not a curated record. Lineage: Eukaryota; Metazoa; Arthropoda; Insecta; Diptera; Tephritidae.
AAAAAAAAUAAAGUCAUUUUAAAAGGAAUUGUUUCAAUUACGUGCGAGGUUAACUGUUAUAUAAACUGUGGUACCAAUUAAUUGAUUAAUUUAAAAAAGUAGCAUAGCUUGGUGUUAAGUAGUUAGCGGAGAGGUACGUAUUCGAAAAUGACGUUUAUAACAAAUUGGUUCAUAUUUUUUUUUAUUAAUUUAAUACAUUAAUUUUAUAACAGUUCGUAUAACAAAAUCUGUCAAAAUAUCAACUAUAAUUUUCCCCUCAUGGCAACGCUGAAUCUGCAAAGUCUCCACACUUUUUGACAUUUCUACAAAAGCUUAUCAUUGACAGCUGCGCUUUAUGCCUUCGCGUCAAUUAUUGUUGUUUUUCCCAGCGCAAUCGGCCGCUGCGAAAAAUCUUAUUGGAAUUUUAGUUCACCGCUCGAAUCGAAUUCAUUCACUUGUUUGUUGUCUUGCAUUCGCAUACGCGUUCGCGAAUUUCAACGCCGUAAAUUCUACAAUUUCAUUUCUUCUGUUUUGUUAAGUUUCGUUGUGUGUGGUGCCGCUGCUUAGAGAACGCAGGAUUUUUAUUUUGCCAAAAUUAACUAUUGCAACAAAUGUGAAAGAAACAGCAACAAAACUAAACAAGUUUACUUAUAAAUCUUAGCGAAAACGCAUAAAUUUCACUUUUCAAAGUUACAUGAAUCGCUUUUAAAAUAGUAAUAUUUUUCUUUGGUGGGCGUUGUGUGUCGGCGUAGUGCAAUUCGAUAUUUGAAAUAAAUAAAUUUACUAAACUGCAUUAUUGCAAAAAUAAACACGAAAAUAGUUCCGCUGCUGCCAAUUCAAGAGUGGUUCAGUUGCAACUCGAUACUGCAUUCUAACAAGCAUACGUUAAAAGAAAUUCCAAAAAAAAGGAAUUUUGCCAACGACAUUAAACAUUAAGAGAAAUUUUUAAAUUUGUGUGCACACUAGUUUAUGGCCGAAAAUAAAGGAAUCAUGCUGGCUAAAUCCGUACAAAAACACGCUGGACGUGCCAAGGAAAAGAUUUUGCAAAAUUUGGGCAAAGUUGACCGGACUGCCGAUGAUAUUUUCGACGAUCAUUUAAAUAAUUUCAAUCGCCAACAAACUAAUGCCAACAGAUUACAAAAGGAGUUCAACAAUUACAUCAGAUGUAUUCGUGCUGCUCAAACCGCUUCCAAGUCGCUAAUGGAUGCCAUUUCCGAAAUCUAUGAACCACACUGGGUCGGCUUUGAUGCGUUGCAGGCGCAGACUGGCGCUGCCGAGAGUCUUUGGCAAGACUUCGCACAUAAAUUGGCAGAUCAAGUAUUGAUUCCGUUGAAUACAUACACCGGACAAUUUCCGGAAAUGAAAAAAAAAGUGGACAAACGCAAUAGAAAGCUGAUUGACUAUGAUGGCCAACGCCAUUCAUUCCAAAGUCUUCAGGCCAAUGCUAACAAGCGCAAAGAUGAUGUCAAGCUCACCAAAGGACGCGAGCAGCUGGAAGAAGCUCGUCGCACCUAUGAAAUUCUCAAUACCGAGUUGCAUGAUGAGUUGCCCGCCUUAUAUGAUUCAAGAAUAUUGUUUUUGGUCACCAACUUGCAGACGCUCUUUGCAACGGAACAAGUGUUUCACAAUGAAACGGCUAAGAUCUACUCCGAACUGGAGGCGAUUGUGGACAAAUUAGCAACGGAUUCUCAACGCGGCUCGAAUACGCUACGAAAGCAAACUAGUAAAUUUAUGGAAAGCACUGCCUUUUCCGCUCCAAGCCCCACAAAGACGUCACCAUUCAAGCAAAUGAACAACACAAACACCACCAAUAACAGUAACUAUCAAAAUCAGAUCACCACCAAUGGCUCCAGUAAUGUCAAUAGUCCUGAAUAAAAAAAAUAAAAAAAAUUUUGACAAAAUUUGCAUUUGCAUAAAUUAAAUUUAAAAAAAAUUGCUUGCUUUAAUUGUAAGCUAAAUACAAUUCGAUUUAAUAUUUUGCACACAAAACUUGUUUCGAAAAUUAUAAUGCUUUUAAAAAUUGGAAAUCGCAAAUUACAGAGAAAAAAAGACAAAAAAAAAACAAAGUUAUACAAUAAAAGUAUGUAUGUUAUGCAUACAAUAACAUGCACUUGCAUUGCUUUAUUAGCCACGAAAAAAAUUAAAAAAAAAAAAUUAAGCACAUUUUGUCUCACUUAAUAAUAUCGAAUCGAAUUUAGCUUAUUUAUUAUGACCCUAUACCAUUUUAAUUUCAAUAAAACCCCACAUUUUAUGAGGUUGUGUGUGCCGAGUACAUUAGCCAAUUAAAUUAUAUUUAGAUGAUAAUUAAAUUAUAAUUAUAAUUUCUUAUUGACAAACAUUUUAUUUGCAGUAGAAGUAGUUAUGUUGUAGCGUUAUAAUUGCAUACGUUUAUGGCCAUAAAAUUGUAUAAUCAUAAUUUUUUUUUCAAUUUAUAAUAGUUAUAAUUUUGGUUUGCUUUAGUUUUAUAGUUAUCUUACAUAACACAAUAUAUAAGAAAAGUAAACUUUCAUGUAGUGAGCAUUUUUAACUACUAAACGUGGUUAUACAAAGUUUAAAAUUUCAUACUAAAAUUAUUGCAACAAACAGUUUCGUUAAAAGUGUCCGUUAUAUUGGUGAUCACUUUUUCCCAUUUACUCUUUGAUCAUGCCUAGAUUUGGUCAAAAGUUGAAAUUUGAGUUUUUUUCAUGAAAAAUUUAGAUAUACCAUAUCCAUAAUUAGAGCGGUGAAUACAGUGAUAAUUCGAACCCCAAUUUAUGUAAUUCGCUACAUUUUUAUUUUAUUAGAAACACAAAGAGCUAUAAACCGAUUUUAACUAUCCUUUAAAUCUUCGCUACCAAUUUUGUAGUGCGAUUUGUCUUAUGUUUCCAAAUUGAUUGCUUACUCCGCGAUUACCUCUUCAUAGUCUCAAGAUUUUUUUCCAGCAGAAAUUUUAUUUAGAUCUAAAGACACGGAAAAUAAGCCAAGGGCCAGAUCCGUGGAAUACCAAUUUUUAACAGCAGCAUUUUUUUUUAUUUCUUGUUUUUGUGCAAAUACCAAAACUUGCCUCAGAUAUGCUGUAUUUCACGAGCUAUUGCGCACUUUCAACCUGACUGGUAGCAAGACACAUUCGAUCAACUCUGAAAUUACAUUAUAAGGCUAGAAAAUUUAAGUUGUAGUUAAUUUUAUUUUGAAUCUAAAGUUUAUAAAUAUAUGGGCUUUAACGAACAUUCAAAAUUAAAAUUAAAAUAUAAUUAUAUUAAGACAUAUGCUUAUAAAUAAGCAGCAGUACGAGUGUGUAUGUGUGUUUUUUAAGCUUUGCUUUUAAUUUUGACAUCCAAAUUUUGCAUGUAAUGAUACCUAAAUUUAUUAUUUUUAUUUGUAAUUAAAUUUUAUAUAUUGCUAAAUUAUUGAAAACAAAAAUUUUAUAACAUUUGAAUUUGCAUGUGAUGAGUUUCUUUUUUUUUUCUUGUUUUCCCCAAUUUUCUUCAUUUAUAUAUAACGUUUCGUUUGGAAUGCUUCUAACAACUGAAUUCUGCAACCAACUUAACCAAAAAAUAAAAAAAAAUACAAAAUACCUAACCUCAUAAACAUACUCUGGAACAAAAUGUAAUAUACAAUUGGCUGACAAAAUUCGCAAAUCGAAAUUCGUCAAUGCACAUACGAAACAACAAACAUAAACACAUAAACAAACAAAACAAAAUACCAAAAACAAACAGCAUCAUCCACAUCCACAAGCUCCUCACAUCAAACAUCCAGGCUUGACUCAGUUUCUCCAACACCAGAAUCCACACCGGAAAAUUUGAAAGCCGCCGACAAUGCUGCUGCAGACACCAACAUCUCAAGCGCCAGCACUGGGCCAGCAUCAACGCCGGGCAGUAGCCCCUUAAUCGGCACACUAACGCCACCUCCAUAUCAAAGUGCAGCUACUGCUCUGCUUGCGAACGCUUCGAAUGCAGCGACGCUCAAUAACAGCAACAGCAAUGGCGGCGUUGAACCGCGUCCAGUUGCCACACCGGAAAGUCCCAAUGCGAACACAACGCUCGACUCUGCUGCGGCUGGUCUAAACGACAGCGCUGCCGCUGUGGAAAUCAAGUCCGAUGCUGCUAUUGAAGUGGCAGUCAACAACAAAGAAAACGAUGUCUCGAUUGCUGUGCCAGCAACAAUAACAGCGCCAAUCACACUAAAGGCCGAGGAAAGCAGCAGCAACAAUCCAAGGAAAUCGUUGAAGCUCACACCGGAACAGCUGAAUGGCAAUGCUAACGGCAACAUCAGUGAAAAUGCCGUGGCGCCGCAGUCAACCAACGCCGACGGCAACGUCAAUGCCAAUGCAAACGCCACCACAGCCGCCGCAACGGCAAUGCCACAAGCAGCAGCAACGCCGACCGAUGUGAACAACGGCAAUGCGACGGAUGAGACGAAUAAGAAAUCAGGAGAUGCCACAACAUCGGAUUUGCCAGCGGGUGUGCUUUACCGUGUCAAGGCCACUUAUGGCUACGUGAAGGAGGAUGUCGAUGAGCUCAGCUUUGAGGUUGGCGAUAUAAUACGCGUUAUUGAAUAUGAUGAUCCAGAGGAUCAGGAGGAAGGUUGGCUGAUGGGACAAAAGGAAGGCACAACCGAAAAGGGUCUGUUCCCGGCCAACUUUACACGACCCAUCUAGGCAAGCGUACAGGCGGGACGCAAGCCAACCAGCAAGCAAGCAACAAAACAGCAGCAGGCCAGUGCAACGAACAAAAGCAGAAAACAUAAACAAUAAAUAAAGCAGAACAAGAAACAGAAGCCACAUAAAAGAAAAUAUUUAUGAAAACAAAAAGUUAAAAGUUUAAGUAAAAGUAGUGAAUGACAGUUAAAGCAACCCGAAGGAUAUUUACGACAAUGGCAAAUGGCAAAUUUAAUUGGCUGCAACGAAUGGGUUUUUAUUGUUAAUUUUGUUUUUAUAAAUAUGUAUUUAUAUAUGAAUUUUUUUUUUUUCUGUAGAAAAAUCUAUUUUACUCUAUUAUCCUGAAACACACAAAAAUCGAAAAGGCAACAGUUGAAAUUUGUUAAAAGAAAUAUGUAUAUAUAAAUAUAUACAUACUUAUGUAUGUGCAUUAUUGUAUAUUUUUAUUUAAUACAUAUUUUGUAUGUAUUUAAUAUUUCUUUUUUUUUAUUGAGAAUUGCUUCGAAAUUUUUAUUUUUGCUUCGUAAAUGUUUUUUUUUUUUAACAAAUUAAAUGUAAAUUAACGCAAUUUUAGCAGAAAUUAAAUAUUUUACUGAAUAUUGGCACAUAAAAAUAUUUUUUUUUAAAUUUAGGCAAAAAAACAAAAUGUUCGCAAGCACUACAAUUUUAUUAUAAUUUUUUUUCAAAAAUAAAGUAAACCACAUUAUUUUUAAAGCCGAAGAAUUUCGUAAGUUUGUAAAUGUCUGCGUUUUGCUUUGGCGGUGUGUUUCUUUUUUCAUUUUUGUUUCUCCACAGCGCUUCCUUAUAUUAUAAUUGUUGAAUGCGAAUAGCGUGCUUCACCGUUAUUUCAAUUCGAUAUGCAAUUUAUUUAUUCGUUUAUGAACAUAACCGUUUUCGUUUAUCAACAAAAACUUAACAGAAGUCAAAGUUGAGUAAAAUUUUAUUGUUAUUGUUAAUUUUUUAAUAUAUAUACAUAUAUAGAUAUAUAUACAUAUACUAUACAUAUGUAUAUACAAAUAAUAAAUAACUAAGUUUCAACUGAGCAUAUUAUAAUUAAAUAACAGCUGGUCAAAAGCGCUGAAUAAUAUUUAUUAACAUGAUAUUUAUUUUUAUGAAUGUAAUGUGAUUGGAAUUUAAUUUAGUAAACAAUAAACACUUUGAUAAAUAAUCGAUAGCUGCAAUAAAAAAUAUUUAACUAUUGGUUUAAGAAAUUUUACGAAAAAAAAUUUUUAAUUCGUUUAAAUUUUUUUAAUAUUGUUGAAAAGAAGAGAGCAGUUAUAUAAUAUAAUUAAUUUCUUUGAAAAAAAUACAGUUAAAAAAGUAAUUAUUUUCCUUACAGCGAACAAUAGAUAUGGAAAAAAGUUAUUAACUUCCUUAAAGCGAAGAUAAGUGUUGAAUAAUGGUAAACUAGUUGGUAUACCAACGAGUUUGAGGCAUAUAUAAAUCGUAUCAUAUUCAAUGAAAAAGCAUAAAUAAAUGAAAAUAAUUAAUUUAAUACAUACUUAUAUACAAUCUUAAAAAUUUAACCAUUUUCUAGUAAUGAUUAAAAUAAAGAAAAAAGCAAACAAGUUGACGAGGCCACAAACCUGUUUUCAGGCAUUUUUUCGCUAUUCAAAAUAUUUAGGAAAAUCAACAUACAAGUUCGACGCAAAUAUACACUUUACAUAUUUGCCACCUUGGUAGUCAGAAUUUUUGCGCAAUCCAUACAUAUGCACUUUAAAAAGUUAUAUGUAUGUUUAUGCAUAAAUAUUAUUGAAAUAUAUAUGAAAUAACAGUCUACUGACAUUAGUAGUUAAGCGUAUAAAAUUAAAAAGAAAAAAUAUGAAAAUUAAUAGCGUACCAACAUAAAAAUAAUAAUAAUUUUGAUAUACUUACAUAAAUUAUGAUAACAGUAAAAGCAAGUAUAAAAGUCAUAAGACGUAACAACCAUUUUUUGACAUAAAUAUAAUACAGUUAUAAAAAGUAAAACAAAAAAAAGUAUAAAUAAAUGAAUAAAAUUGAAUAAAUCCAGUGCCAACAUGUAGCCGAUCGUGCGACUUCGCUAUAAAUCACAUUUUAAAAAUCAAAAGUCAUUUGCUGAGCCAAAAGUCUUAUACAUACUUAUUGUAUUUGAAUCGGUGAAAAAUAAAUAAGUUAAACUAAACUUCUUUUAAAUUUGUUAAUUUUGCGCAAUUGCUUAUGGUGAGUUGUUAAUUUUCUCACGUUAUUUUUAGUAACAAUUUACAUACAUUCAUAUAUACAUACAUACAUACAAACAUAUGAAUAAUUGUUAUCCUUAAAAUUUAGUUGUAAUAACAGUGCAUCCAUCCUAUAUACUACAAUGCCAAAAGAUUAAAAAAACACACCCACACACACAAUAUUUGCACAACUUCUGUGGCAUUGUAUUUUGCUGCUAAUAUAUUUAAUUUUGCAAUAAAAGUUUUGUAUUCACUACAUAUGUGUAUGGAUAUUAUCCUUUGUUAAAUCUGAUCAUAAUUUCAUUUUGAGUGUGUGCAUAAACAAUACAAAACUACUUGUAUAUUAAAUACAAUAUUUAUGAAUAUAAAACAAAACAGACCAUUGUAUUUAGUAUUUAGUUGUAUCUAAUUGUACGUAUAUACAUAUAUUAUUUACAACCUGAACUGGUCAACUUUCAAAAACACUACAGUUUACGGAACAAAAAUAAAUAAUUGAACUAAUAAAAACUAAAAA